Molecule: ribosomal RNA, 309 nt
Filed under: uncultured bacterium
Lineage: Bacteria
Description: bacterial SSU rRNA
Rfam family: Bacterial small subunit ribosomal RNA
Source: RNAcentral
GACGAACGCUGGCGGCGUGCUUAACACAUGCAAGUCGAGCGGUAAGGCCCUUUCGGGGGUACACGAGCGGCGAACGGGUGAGUAACACGUGGGUGACCUGCCCUCAGCUCUGGGAUAAGCCUGGGAAACCGGGUCUAAUACUGGAUAUGACUCCAUGACGCAUGUUGUGGGGUGGAAAGCCUUGUGCGGCUGAGGAUGGGCCCGCGGCCUAUCAGCUUGUUGGUGGGGUGAGGCCUACCAAGGCGACGACGGGUAGCCGGCCUGAGAGGGCGACCGGCCACACUGGGACUGAGACACGGCCCAGACUCC